Molecule: ribosomal RNA, 200 nt
Filed under: uncultured bacterium
Lineage: Bacteria
Description: partial 16S ribosomal RNA
Rfam family: Bacterial small subunit ribosomal RNA
Source: RNAcentral
AGAGUUUGAUCCUGGCUCAGAACGAACGCUGGCGGCGUGCCUAACACAUGCAAGUCGAACGGAAUUAAGGGGCUUGCUCCUUAAUUUAGUGGCGCACGGGUGAGUAACGCGUAGAUAAUCUGCCCUGGUAUCUGGGAUAACAUCUCGAAAGGGGUGCUAAUACCGGAUAAGCCCACGACGACUUUGGUCGUUGCGGGAAA